This 497-nucleotide ribosomal RNA is filed under the name uncultured bacterium. RNAcentral describes it as "partial 16S ribosomal RNA". It matches the Rfam family "Bacterial small subunit ribosomal RNA", at positions 28 to 507 of the family's 1533-position model. The record is from RNAcentral.
GAUGAACGCUGGCGGCGUGCCUAAUACAUGCAAGUCGAGCGAACGGACGAGAAGCUUGCUUCUCUGAUGUUAGCGGCGGACGGGUGAGUAACACGUGGAUAACCUACCUAUAAUACUGGGAUAACUUCGGGAAACCGUAGCUAAUACCGGAUAAUAUUUUGAACCGCAUGGUUCAAAAGUGAAAGACGGUCUUGCUGUCACUUAUAGAUGGAUCCGCGCUGCAUUAGCUAGUUGGUAAGGUAACGGCUUACCAAGGCAACGAUGCAUAGCCGACCUGAGAGGGUGAUCGGCCACACUGGAACUGAGACACGGUCCAGGCUCCUACGGGAGGCAGCAGUAGGGAAUCUUCCGCAAAGGGCGAAAGCCUGACGGAGCAACGCCGCGUGAGUGAUGAAGGUCUUCGGAUCGUAAAACUCUGUUAUUAGGGAAGAACAUAUGUGUAAGUAACUGUGCACAUCUUGACGGUACCUAAUCAGAAAGCCACGGCUAACUACGUG